UAAACUAGGAUUAGAUACCCUAUUAUUUUGGAAUGUUAAUUAUCUGAGUAGUAUUAGUUAUGUUCUUGAAACUUAAAGAAUUUGGCGGUAUCUCAUUCCUUCCAGAGGAAUCUGUCUCGUUAUCGAUAGUCCGCGUUGGACCUUACUUAGGUUUGUAUACCGCCGUUUAUUGAUUAUCUUUUUAGGGUUGGAUUAAUUUUCUGGUUUCUUUAUUUUGGUUUAUUUCAGGUCAAGGUGCAGCUUGUUUCUAAGUGAAUGAUGGAUUACAUUUUUAUUUGUUAUUGGAUUGAUGAUUUUGAUAUUGUCAUGAAAUUGGAUUUGGUUGUAAUGAUUUGUAGAUUGUUAUUGUGAUAGUUGGUUCUGGGAUAUGCACACAUCGCCCGUCGCUCUCGUAAUGAGAUAAGUCGUAACAUAGUA
RNAcentral lists this ribosomal RNA (417 nucleotides) under Termes hospes. Its description in RNAcentral is "partial 12S ribosomal RNA". The record is from RNAcentral. Lineage: Eukaryota; Metazoa; Arthropoda; Insecta; Blattodea; Termitidae.